RNAcentral lists this ribosomal RNA (460 nucleotides) under uncultured bacterium. Its description in RNAcentral is "partial 16S ribosomal RNA". It matches the Rfam family "Bacterial small subunit ribosomal RNA", at positions 338 to 795 of the family's 1533-position model. The record is from RNAcentral.
CCUACGGGAGGCAGCAGUGAGGAAUAUUGGUCAAUGGACGCAAGUCUGAACCAGCCAUGCCGCGUGCAGGAAGACGGCUCUAUGAGUUGUAAACUGCUUUUGUACGAGGGUAAACGCAGAUACGCGUAUCUGUCUGAAAGUAUCGUACGAAUAAGGAUCGGCUAACUCCGUGCCAGCAGCCGCGGUAAUACGGAGGAUUCAAGCGUUAUCCGGAUUUAUUGGGUUUAAAGGGUGCGUAGGCGGUCGGAUAAGUUAGAGGUGAAAUCCCGAGGCUCAACUUCGGAAUUGCCUCUGAUACUGUUAGGCUAGAGAGUAGGUGCGGUAGGCGGAAUGUAUGGUGUAGCGGUGAAAUGCUUAGAGAUCAUACAGAACACCGAUUGCGAAGGCAGCUUACCAAGCUACGUCUGACGUUGAGGCACGAAAGCGUGGGGAGCAAACAGGAUUAGAUACCCCAGUAGUC